GAUGCUGUUAAUCUUUCUGGUGUUCGUUGUACUUUCUGGUCUCUUGGUGAAUCCCUUAAGCCUGAUGGCUUAGUCAAGACCUUUGUUGUAUCUGCCUUUUGCUACAGUUUGUUUCAGAAACCCAAUGGUCAUCCAGAUGUUUCGAAGAGGCAUUACUUCUUUGCUAACAUUGGUGAGAAUCUUUUGAAAGAUUUUGAUGAUGCUGAUCAGGAUGUUUUGGCUCGUGCUUUCAAAAGAUCAUCAAAAGCUAGACCUCUAAACCAUUCUAAUGCGCUCUUUUUCCCAACCUGCUUUGAGGAUCACUGGUUUGUCUUUGUUGUUGAUAUUAAAGACAGGAAAUUUGUGAUUCUUGAUUCUUACUACAAGGAGAAUGAUGAAUUUCAAGAAAUUGUUCGUGAACGCAUG
Panicum virgatum (switchgrass) is the source of this 405-nucleotide long non-coding RNA. RefSeq lists it as uncharacterized. Lineage: Eukaryota; Viridiplantae; Streptophyta; Magnoliopsida; Poales; Poaceae. The transcript has 3 exons. The record is from RefSeq and is a predicted model, not a curated record.